CCCAAGCUGCCACUGCAGCAGUAAAGAGUAGCAGCCCCAGGCUCAGUCUAUGCUGUGCCAACUGGCUGGUGCUGGGGAGGCUUUAACAAGAGAUUUUUGCAUCUUAGCUCCUUGGAGAACAGAGCAGGAGUGCCAUUUCUGUAGAGGACCAUGUUGCGUCGCAAACCCUCCAACGCCAGUGACAAAGAGCCCACUCAGAAGAAAAAGGUAAGGCGCAUCUUUGAGCGUACACUCCUUCCUUCUCUCCUCUACACUCUCUACCAAGGCCUUCAUGGACUCUUAGAAGGUGGAAGUUGAACCAAGGCUCUAUGUUGAGCUUGGACGUGAGGGUUCUUCCAGAAAGCAAGGGGAUGGGGCUCAACGCUCACUUGAGUAGUAAAAGUACUGAAGGUACUUUCUAAACUCUGGAAUACAGAGCUAUGAGUUGGGCCUUUGGAAGUCUAGAGUGAUAGACUGAAGAACAUAAGAGUUAAAUCCACAGACAUCAGUUGGAGAGUUACAAAAUGUCGUGUUCAAAUUGAAUCCAAAGAGCGUAAUUAAUUUUGUCUCUCUAGCUCGGGUUCUGUGUUGCUUUUGCUCGAGUGUGUCCUCUGGGGACUACCUCAUUCAAAGGGCCCUACUAGCCUACCCAGCCAAGGUGGUCACAGACUCCCUAACUCUUUGGCAGGAGCCAUAGCCAUUUCCCACUAGGCUCAGAUCUACAACAUCUCCCCCAGGCCACUGGAGAUGAAGCAGUAAGUAAAUUUCAGACUCAGGAAAAGAGCCCACCCAAAUGCCGUAAAGUUCAGGUGGUGGUGGUGGUGUGUGUGUGUGUGUGGGGGGGGUUGAACAGGUUCUUUCUGGGCAAGUGAACUUAUGAAGAAUGAGAAAUGGAGCUGAUGACUUGCAUGGUGAGUAGGUGUGAGAGCUAAGGGGGAAAAGUUCGUUGGGGGAGGGAAGGGGAUUUCAAAGUCCAGGAAGGAAGGUAGCUGUCAAAAAUGGCUGAAGUGUUCAUCUUCCUGAGACAGGAGCUAGACUGAAUGAUUCUUGAAGACUCUGAUAUCCAGGUUUCCCUGGCUGUAUGUAUAGAGUUCAUUUUAUGUCAGGACUCUCCCAGGCAAUCAGCCUGUCCAGUCUGCAUGUCUAAGUGGACCACAGGAAUGGUCCAAAGCAGGCCUGACUAGAUCCAAGCACCCAAGCCUUAAUCAGGGGCCUCCAGGACUCUCACUGUGCCCUAUCCAUUUUUCCAUGGAAUUCAACUCAGGUGCACUGUGGGGGGAUGCCCCCUUGUCAGAACAGUUCCCAGGCAGUGGGCGACAACUAAGAGACAGGCUGAGAGCAUUGGGGUGUGCAUCCUGUCCCACCUCUCAGGAUCUGGGUGGCUGCCGCUUUCGGCUGUACUCUCUCCACUUCAGCUGCUUCUGUAAGAUCGCAGUGGCGGGUAGGUGGAGAAGGGUAAGAUUUGUGAAUAUUCACACAGGGCCUUGUCACCCCACCCCCCCACCCCCGCCAAAACUAGGCCCCAAAGGCUUGUCAUUGGCUGCCACUCCUCAAGAGCAAAGCCACUUCCCCUUGCUCUCAAGCUCAUGAGAAAAACAGAGACUGCUAUAUAGACCCUGGUAGGCCCCAAACCACAGCAGAAUCAAGCUGGAAGAAAAAGUCUGAGAAAGAGCUGACACCAGAGUCCGCAGCUACCUCAGGUAGAGGUGCCCCAAGGCCUACAGAAUAAGAAACCCCUUUCCUCUCUCUUGGCUCCAGUUACUCAGAUCCUGCAUCUGGGAAUCCCUCCAGGUUUCCUCUAGAAAAGUCUGUGGUCCACAUCCUUUAGUCCACACAAACUGCACCUCACCCCUGCCAGGGCCUCUGGCAGCCUCCAGGAGGCCAGAUGAGUUUGCCUUUACAUAUUCAAGCCCCAUACUAUAAAAAUGCCCUUAACACAACCAAACCUCCAGAAGAUGUGGCAUCGUCCCAAGGCCCAGAGACAGUAGCCAGCUUCAUCUUUGAUUGCCAGAUGACUGAAGUCAAGUCUCUUCCCUUUGGAAACUGAGGUGAUGUGAUAGAAGGGAAUAUACAGGGACAAAGGAAGCUCCUCCCUCCUGUUCCUGCCUCUUUUCCUCCUUCAGCCAAUGAAAAUGUACUGGAGAGAGGGCAAGAAAGUGGAGUUAGAAUGCUCCCAUUCUGCCAUAGGAGCCUGGACAGUACUUCCCCUGGGCCUCAGUUUCUUCACCUCUGAAAGAAAAGGUGAUCUCUGGAGGUAGGGCUCACUGGAAUAAUAGCUGUGAGAGCACCCUCUCCGGUGUGUGCUUCUGCCUACAAGGGGGUGCUAGCUUUGGCAUGAGCCCAGAUGGAGCAGACACACAGCAAAGAAUAAACCAAGGUCCCAGUCUUGAAGUACAGAAAGCAGGGCCUAACGGUAUGGAGAGCCACACUGAGGGAAGGCUUGUCAGCGGCCACGUGCUACACUCUGUACCUCAGUCACGGUUUAGCUUGCGGAGUUUUCACUGCAACCUCAGAGUAGAGACAGGUAUAUACUGAUUUCACACUGGACACUCCGACUGGGGACAUUUGCUGGAGCUAUCACAGAGAGUGUGUUGCAGCGUUCCAAGCCAGGGUGCUUAAUUUCAGAAUCUUCUCUCCUUCUCUCUGCAUACCCUUGUCCCAUAACUGAUCUCAGAAGCACUAAGAGAGAGU
This 2670-nucleotide long non-coding RNA is filed under the name Mus musculus (house mouse). RNAcentral describes it as "long non-coding RNA chrX:48146510-48149180". Lineage: Eukaryota; Metazoa; Chordata; Mammalia; Rodentia; Muridae. The record is from RNAcentral.